UUUUCGAUUGAAGGAACUGGUGGAGUUUUCUGCACUGAAAUUGCACUUUUCUUGCAGAAGUGUUGUCAAAACGCCGACACCAUGUUCCAUUGAUUGGAACUGCAAUAAAAAAGUGCAAUUCCAGUGCAAUUUCGGGGCAGAGAUUUGGCACCGAAAAAAUUGUCGGUGGAGCCAGUGCACUCACCAACACAGACCAACACCAAUCACGCAAACGUCAAAGCAAUGUUCAAAAUGGAUGAGUAAACAAACCGGUUAUCGCAGAAAACGACAGGGAUAGUACCCUUCUGUCGGAAUCGUAUUUGGUGCUCAUUGGUUUGCAGGCUUUAGACUUCAAUUCUGUCAACUAGAGGUAUGCGUUUUAUUGAUUAGUGGCUCCCGUUUCCCGGACGUGGAUUACAACCGAAGGCUGGAAUUUCCCCAAAAUAGCGGUUCCGAAGUGGCGAUCAUCUCCAGAGCCGCCACCACCUCUACGUAAAGAAGCAGUUCAGUGUGAACCAAAAAAGGGAACCGUCGAACAAGACGAAACCGUCGCCCGUUAUCACUAUCAACGAGAAGGAUUACCAGGUUCUGAAAAGCUCGGUUCCGGUGGCUCCAGUUUAGUUUUCGGCCAAACAAAUGGGGACGGGCGUUGAAUGAGCGUUGAAGUUGGUGAAGCUCGAAGGCGAUUCCAGCAUAGUAGAAGGCUGCUUAAACGGAACGAAACUGUUGGCGAAAUUGCAAGGGAAUGAAAAUGUAGUAGCGCUGUAUGACUAUUGUCAUGUUCCGGAGUCUAACCAACUAAACCUGGUAAUGGAAAAGGGUGAUAAUUAUCUGCACAAAAUCCUGCAAAGCUACCGCAAGGAUAUCCCGCUGUACACGGUCAUGCAUAUUUGGUACCAGAUAGUGCAGUGUGUGCACUACAUUCACGAGCACGGUGUCAUCCAUCUGAAUCUCAAACCGGCUAACUUUCUGAUGGCAACCUGAUUGACUUUGGCAUCGCCAGCAAUAUCUCCUUCGACUCCACCAGUAUUAUGAAAUUUUCCCAAGCGGGCAUAUUCAACUAUAUCAGCCCGGAAGCUCUGAUUGACACUUGCACGGAGAAUCUGAUCACUGGGGUGCAUACUGUAUUUACUGCUGUAUAAGAGGACUCCAUUUGCCCACACCAAGAACAACUACAAGGUAAAUGUUAUCAACAAACCCAACACGACUAUUGAUUUUCCGACGUUGCCCAGUUAUUAUCCGCCGACUUCGCUCGAAAUGCUGCAGCGAUGUCUCAAGUACGAUCCAAAGCCGAGAGCUUUGACGGCGGAUUUGCUCGACUAGCCGUUUGAUAUGGUGAUUGGGAAAUGAUGCUGUAACAACUUUACAUAUGUGUAUGUCUUAUUUUAUUUGGAACGAAAUAUAUUAUGUAUUUACGUAUUUCAUUGGUUGUUUUCCACACCUCUUCCAUCAGAUCUUUGAGUGUGACCUCCUCCAAGUUCUCUUUUAGCUUUUCUUCCGGCAUUCGCGCUACAUGUUGGUAUACUUGGUACAGUUCGUGGUGGCAGAAAUCACUAACGAACCGAUACAUACACAGGAGUAAAAUGUUGCGAAAGUGGCUUGGAAUUCUAAUGGUCGAUGUUCUAGAUCCUCUGCAUAACCGACUCGAGUCGCAAGGAACCAAUUUGCCGGGAGUGACACCACUGCUUGAUGAGUAGCAUUC
Long non-coding RNA from Topomyia yanbarensis, 1681 nucleotides. RefSeq lists it as uncharacterized. The record is from RefSeq and is a predicted model, not a curated record. Lineage: Eukaryota; Metazoa; Arthropoda; Insecta; Diptera; Culicidae. The transcript has 4 exons.